This 6785-nucleotide long non-coding RNA is filed under the name Capsicum annuum. RNAcentral's name for it is "long non-coding RNA (CANN_LNC008651)". Lineage: Eukaryota; Viridiplantae; Streptophyta; Magnoliopsida; Solanales; Solanaceae. The record is from RNAcentral.
GCUGUUGUUACUGCUUAUGUUUCCUUAAAUGCUGUGAUUAUGCUUUCCUUGAGCUAAGGGUCUAUUCGAGACAACCUCACCUGCACCCAAAGUAGGGUAAGGUCGUGUACACUCUACUGUCUCCAUAACGCCACUUGUGGGAUUACACUGGGUUGGGUAUCGCAAUUGUUGUUGUCGUUCUAAAUUUCAGCAAGUAUUUGUUAGCAAGGUAAAUCCUAAUGCAAGAAGAAUUUAGACACAAUGAAGAAGGAUUCACCAGACCUUCUAGCAUUUGCAAUUGUAAAUGCUUCCAAGGCCCACUUUGAAUAGAUAUAAUCUCCUACUAUCGCAGUGAACUUACUGUCCUUGCUUGGUACAAGGGUCAAGACAACUGGAAGCAACACCGACCACUGAAAGACACAUCAGUUUGUUAGUAGAGAAUUGCGGCAAUAGAGGAUAACGUUUGGAGUUGAUAUGUAUUGUAUGAUCAAAGUACCGAGUACACACCAGUUGAGCCUGACCAGGUUCAAAGUAGAUGGCAAGUGCAUAAGCUAUCCCAGUAACACAAUAUACAACACAAAGCAAGACGAGAUAGUAAUCCAAAAUUGAAGAUCUUGGAUUGUUGAAGAAGUAGAACAUUGAUAGAUAAACUGCAGGCUUUACAAUAGUAUUGAUAUGAUCAACGGUAUCUUUAGCCAUAAAGUAUGCCAAACUGCUCAUGCCAGAUGCACUCUCUCUCCAGUAGUGUAAUUUAUCUAGAGAAAAUGACCUCAAAGACGCAAUCUUGAUGAGAAGAGCUGCAAAACAUUUUGGAAGGUAAGAACUUAGGUAAAGUGAAAAAUGGUAAUGAAGAUAUAUGAAACUAACAGUAACAAUCUUUCAUAUAAGUUUGUAAAACCAUAAAAAGAUACAAUACCAAAAUAAGUACUACGCGCAGGUCUAGGGAAGGGCCUGACCACAGGGAUCUAGUGUACGCAGCCUCACUUUACAUUUCUACAAGGGAUUGUUUCCAAGGCUUGAACCCGUGAUCUCCUGGUCACAUGGCAGCAACUUACCAGUUACUCCAAGGCUCCCCUUCAACUCAUUAUUGGUACCAACAUUUACGAAUUGUUAGCAUUAAGAAAGAAGCGGAAUUACAAGUGAUAACAUCGAGAUGAAGUGCAUGAUUUUAAAAUCUGGAACUUUUUCUCCUAAAUUUGCAAACAUAGCUAAUCAACUGUCUUUAAGUCAUCAGUCCUCUUAAAGAUAAAAUGCUGAAGUAUAUACACUGUUCAGUGGUUUUGAACUUACGAACUGCAAUGACGGUGUAAAGGUACCCCAUAAAUCCAAAUGAUUCAUCACUCAUGUCAGCAAGUGUUCUCAAACAGAUUCCAGCAAGUAACAGAAUAAGACAAUCAACUGCUUGUAGCCUGGCUUCUCGCAAUCGCUGCUUCCCGACUCUGACAAUGUGAAGUAUCAUAGAUGUCAACCAUCAAAACAAAUGCAAACGCAAAAACAUUUGUAUAUCAACUAAAACUUUCACAUGAAUACCCCCCCCUAAGUGUCCAUGGAAGCAGCCUCACCUUAAAUUUCUGCAAGGGGCUGUUUCCACGGCUUGAACGCGUGACCUCCUGGUCACACGGAAGCAACUUUACCAGUUACUCCAAGGCUCCCCUUCAUAUAAAAGAAAGAAGUACAACGGAGAGUUGCCAAACAUUUGCAUAUAGGACUGCAAGCAUGAAUUAAACACAUACACACACACAUCUUGAAAAAUAAUUAGAUGGUAUACAAGUGAAAAGGAGAGAAACUUAUUAUUACCUUACAAGGAAAUACUUAUAUUGAAGCAAUACACCAGGGGUUUUCCGAUGGGACAAGUCCGACCAUGCCAAAAAGUUGAAUCUCAUGCGGUCCUUCUUCUGUGCAACAUUGGAUUUGAUAUCUGACCACAGAUCUCCAGAUUGAUCGGAAGUAGCAGCCGCAGGACUUGCUCCAUCAGCUGAAUUUUCUCCAACCGAAGAUGCUUGUGAUCCAGAAGAAUCUAGCGUAUCUGGUGGUAUGGGGUAUCCGUUAUGAAUCAUCCAUCUAACAGGAAGAUCUUUAUAGUUCAGUCCUGUGCUCGGGAGUUUAUAAAUUCCUUCUAAAAUAUCAAUGAAAUGAUCUGGAGGAUUAACGCGAUCAGGUACAGUAAUUCCAAUGCCUGCAAAGUACUCUUCAACUGUCUUUACUGGUCCAUGAUAUACGGUAAGGCCGCCCUUGGCUAGAAGUACCAAAUCGUCAAACAUUCUGAACAAAGAAUAGCUGAAAAAGGAAGUGAUUACUGAGAUAGGGUGUCAAAAUUAAAGCGAUUUGAAAGAUCAUCGUUAUGCUGGAGGAAAAACUACUUAAAGUUAUAUGAUUAUAAUUCCACAUGUUUUGUGAUUGCAAUAUGUUCAAUGAGUGCGAGGACAAACAAAAAGAUAAAGCAAUAGAUAAAAGACAACAUGAUAACCACCAAGGAAUGCAAAUGGAAGAAGAUGAAUAGAGUAAGACCAAAAAGACUUAGAGGCUAUCAUUCGCAACAUUACCUUGGCUGGUGCACCACCAUGCAUACGUUCACUCCUUCAAUAGCUUCCCGACGAGUAGCUCUGAGUAACAAUUGAGAUGAAGAGCUAUCCAAACCAGAAGUUGGUUCAUCUAAGAUUAACAAAGAAGGUUCCAUAACCAUUUCCCGCCCAACGUUGACUCUCUUCCUCUGACCCCCAGAGAUGCCUCGCUUCUCCACUGUCCCCACGAGAGAAUCUCUCACAGGUUGCAAUCCCAGGGACUCUAUCACUCUUUCAACAACUAAAACCUUUUCUGGUUUAGGCAAAUCAGAUGCCAGUCUGGAAGAGUGAUUCAACAAAGAAGAGUAGACUAGAGUCAGUCGUCAUAUGAAUAUAGUAGUAUCGAAAAAACAGCAGGCUAACAAGUGAAAGCAGUAGCAAAAAAGCAAACUAACUUCCUUUUGUAUAAUAUAAGCUGGUCAUAUCUCUGCCUAGUUUGUGUUUUGACAACAAUAGAUGGCACGGAGGUUUCAGACCCUCACAUGAAUACUUCGAAAGUUUCAUUGACAAGUGUCAGUCAGUGGUUCCUGAUAAUAAGGGUAUGCAUGUAGCAGUCCAGAGUACGAAGGAAAAAGAAAUGCAUGACCUUUCCAAAGAACAAACUACUGGAAGCUGUCACCACCAAAACGUAGACUGAUGGUUGAAGUCAUGAAACUUAUGAAGUAAAAGAAUGCCAUGCGAAAAAUGAUGUUAUAUGAAUGCAUAGAUUCGUAAUAAUAGAACUACAAUAGCAUACCUGCACCGAGCACUAAACCAAAGAUUCUCCUCCACAGUUAAAUUUUCAUGUACUAUGUCAUCUUGAGGUACAAAGCCAAUGAUUUUCUUGUAUGACUGCACUGGUUCAGGCUUCCCAUUUAUGAGAAUCACUCCGAUCACGGUACACCCAGCAGCCUUCCCAGUCAAUGCAGAAAGAAACGUUGUCUUUCCAGCACCAGAUGGACCCAUAACAGCCGAAACACGGCCAGGUGAUAAUUUCCCUGAUACACACCUCAAUAGAUGCUUGGUUUUACCCUUCAAAGUAAGUGUCAAAUCUUUGAAACACACCUCAAUAGGAGGUCUAGUUCUAAUCUCAAUAGCACUUGCCAUCGAGAUUACACCAGAAAAUGUCAAAUCCUUAUUCUGCUCCUGCAAUGCUUUUUCUUUCUCAAUUUGACCAUACGCAUAUUUAAAGAAGAAGCAAGUUAUCGGAGAAGCUUGUUGGUUAGUUGUAACUUGUUAGAGAUGAAAAUCUUAAAAAAAAGGGCAGCGUGGUGCACUAAAGCUACCGCUAUUCACGGUGUCCGGGGAAGGGCUCCACCACAAGGGUGUAUUGUACGCAGUCUUACCUUGCAUUUCUACCAAGCUGUUUCCAAGGCUUGAACCCGUGACCUCCUGGUCACAUGGCAGCAACUUUACCAGCCUUAGCUUACGAGAAGAAAAUGUAAAAUGUUAUAUCUCGUGCGAUCUGUCCUUCUUUUGGGUUCAGUUAUGUUGUUUAUGCAGCCGUUACUCUACUAUUAUUUGAAAAAGAUAAGUAGAAAUUAUGUCCAGACUAAUCCCUCCCAUUUCCUCCUCCUUCUGUAAGGAAACAGCGGACAUUAGCUAAAGACAAAUCUGUUCUUUCUGUCAUGCAUUUCUCACUUUACUUCUCCCGCGUCAAGCCUAAAAAGUUUAAGACAUGCACGACCAUACUAGCUAACAAUCCAGGAACAUUAUGACAUUAUCUCAAAAGUAAAACCUUAUAUAGAUAAUCAAUAUUUGCACAGCCUAGGAGUGAGGAGAUGACUUACAAAAAACAUAAUACCAUAAGCUGUGAUAUUUUGAUUACUUGACUUUGAUUCACAAAUAGCUAACUUAUAGCAGCCUGCAUGUCCAUAAUAAUAGAUAAAUUCUUGAUCACGAUGAUGAUGAUGAUGGCAAUGUUAGAGCAUAAAAUAUUUCCAAAAAUAGAAAAGAACAUGUAGUGAGUUGUUACUUGAUACUAUAACUUUUCAUCUUGACGUAUUAUCUUCAAGUUACAAAUAACACAUAUUCAGUAACAUGACAACUAUAAGAUGUACCAUCUUUCUCAUAGUAGAGAAGAACGCGAGGCACAUCCCACUACCAAAAUAGUAAUCUUGUUAACGUGGAUGUCCAACAUGCUCUUAUCUUGAUACGUCUUGCUCAUUUCUAGUAAGAAUUAUUGGAUAUGCAUCUAGCAUAUUUUAACAGUACUAGAAACCUAGGCAAAGAAGACAAUUGGAUAUAGUUUUCCUUUUUGUAUUUCACUUGGAACCUGACAAGCUGCUACGUCACGCCAAGGAGAUUUCUUUUUUCCAGUGUGUGUGUGUGUUCUUUUUCCUUUCGUAUUUUGCUUUAGAAAUAUGGUAAAAGUGAGACAACACAACCAAACAGGCAUUUUUACUAGUACGAUAUAUCUAAAAGGAUCAAAUAAGUCAUUAUUACGUGUUUAUUCAAAGUCAAAGAUAAGAAAUGAAGCAACAAAGAACCUAAUACAGAGACAAAACAGACUGUCACAUGAGAUGAAGACUUACUUGUUUGAGACGUAGAACCAGUUCUACAGUAAUGCCUGGAAAAAAAGCAAAAACAAACAGUAUGAUAAGCGAAUGGAUUAGCAUGAGCUUCUAAUAUGAGCAAAAGGAUGAACAAGUUAAACAGAAAUAGCAUUUUGCGGGGAAAGAGAAAGCACGGUGAGAUACAUAUUCUCCGGUUUUGGGAUAAAUAUAAUUACCCUUUAUUGCAAGGUAAUUUCAGGGCAGUAGUUGGACAGUAAUAUCCUGAUGGACAAAAGAUUUCAGUAGUACUCCGAACAUCAGCCCAAACUUCUGCUCCACUGCAACUAUGAUUUAUCUGCCCUGGAGGAGGUUGAUAAUGGUACCUGCAUAUUUUGAGACAGGAAAUAUGAGUUGAAGGAUGCAAAAAGAAUACGGUCAAGUAAGAAUAAGAACUACAUAAGAUGUACGAAACUUAUGGGUCACACACACCAGUCUCGCUAUUGAGUGUUGAAAGAGGGCAAAACGCGCCUAGUGGACAAGCUUCAACCAGAAAAUAGGAAAAUAAACAAACAUAAAACUGAUACGAACGAGAGAAUCAACUUAUAGAAUUAUGCCAAAGGUGCAACUUGUGAUUUUGCCAAAGCAAAUUGUUUGAGCACAUCUACUUCAGAUAGUGGCCAUGAUUUCAAUGACUAUAAGAUAAUAUUCUUGUAGAUACUUACGUAUCAUGCAGGUGAGACCACGAGGACAGAAGAAACCUUCACAACAAGGUUCACACUCAAGAAUUCUAAGUGGCAUUUUGUUUAAAUCAAGGUCAACCGGAUUGUCUCCAAUGCUACAAGCCCAUCCUGGCUCACAUCCAUUAACCCAUGAUGAUAGAUUACAAUUUGUGUAGGUUUCAGGUUACCUCUUCCACCGCCUUUCAUUAAAAGUUGAGAAUAGAACUUUAACUCCGGUGCUGUAUACAAGCGCCUUAGUAUAUCACCUAUUCAACAACCGAAGACGUUGUGAAUACGAAAAUAAAGACAGUAGAACCCUGGAUUAUCAUGAUGUACAACGUAUACAACAUUAUGAACUAGAAUAGCAGACCUCGAACUAGAAAAAAUACAACCUCAGAGAAUCUUAACCAGAAAAUUAGUACCUUGUGUUUUUUUAAUGCAAUCUGUUAAAAAAUCUGUGUUCUCGCUGAAAUUAAAAGCUUUAUUCCAUUCAGCAUCCCUACAACACGAUCAGAAUUCAUCAACUGAAAAUUAGCUUUCUCUUUAGACGAAUUGUCAAAGACAACACUAUCAAAGAUGAAUUGUCAAAGACAACGCUAUCACAACUAAAGUGAAACAAGAUUUUGGAAAAGCUUUUGCCGGUUGGCUUAAUGACAUAGGAAUUGAAGAAUAUAACCUUUCCUAAAGCAACAUAAGAGACCGUUUUCGAGACAAUUUUUCAAUUAUGAGACAAUUGUUACUGCUUAUGUUUCCCUAAAUGCUGUGAUUAUGCUUUCCUUGAGCUAAGGGUCUAUUGGAGACAACCUCACCUGCACCCAAAGUCGGGUAAGGUCGUGUACACUCUACAGUCUCCAUAACGCCACUUGUGGGAUUAUACUGGGUUGGGUAUCGCUAUUGUUGUUGUCGUUCUAAAUUUCAGCAAGUAUUUGUUAGCAAGGUUAAUCCUAAUGCAAGAAGAAUUUAGACAGAAUGGAGAAGGAUUCACCAGACCUUCUAGCAUUUGCAAUUAUAAAUACUUCCAAGGCCCACUUUGAAUAGAUAUAAUCUCCAAC